RNAcentral lists this ribosomal RNA (253 nucleotides) under uncultured bacterium. RNAcentral describes it as "partial 16S ribosomal RNA". It matches the Rfam family "Bacterial small subunit ribosomal RNA", at positions 524 to 776 of the family's 1533-position model. The record is from RNAcentral.
UACGUAGGGCGCAAGCGUUGUCCGGAAUUACUGGGCGUAAAGCGUGCGUAGGCGGUUGGUUAAGUCUGUCGUGAAAGCCCUGGGCUCAACCUGGGAAUGGCGAUGGAUACUGGCCAGCUAGAGUGUGAUAGAGGAUGGCGGAAUUCCCGGUGUAGCGGUGAAAUGCGUAGAGAUCGGGAGGAACAUCCGUGGCGAAGGCGGCCAUCUGGAUCAACACUGACGCUGAGGCACGAAAGCGUGGGGAGCAAACAGG